Molecule: ribosomal RNA, 428 nt
Filed under: uncultured bacterium
Lineage: Bacteria
Description: bacterial SSU rRNA
Rfam family: Bacterial small subunit ribosomal RNA
Source: RNAcentral
CUAAGAAUAUUCCGCAAUGGACGAAAGUCUGACGGAGCGACGCCGCGUGGAUGAAGAAGGCCGAAAGGUUGUAAAAUCCUUUUGUCGGGGAAGAAUAAGCGUGGGAGGGAAUGCCCGCGUGAUGACAUGAACCGGCGAAUAAGCCCCGGCUAACUACGUGCCAGCAGCCGCGGUAACACGUAGGGGGCGAGCGUUGUUCGGAAUUACUGGGCGUAAAGGGCAUGUAGGCGGUUUUGUAAGCCUGGCGUGAAAUUCUGCAGCUUAACUGUAGGACUGCGCUGGGAACUGCGAGACUGGAGUCACGGAGAGGGAGCCAGAAUUCCAGGUGUAGGGGUGAAAUCUGUAGAUAUCUGGAAGAAUACCAAUGGCGAAGGCAGGCUUCUGGCCGAUGACUGACGCUGAGGUGCGAAAGCGUGGGUAGCAAACAG